UAAUACAUGCAAGUAGAACGCUGAAGGAGGAGCUUGCUUCUCUGGAUGAGUUGCGAACGGGUGAGUAACGCGUAGGUAACCUGCCUGGUAGCGGGGGAUAACUAUUGGAAACGAUAGCUAAUACCGCAUAACAGUAGAUGUUGCAUGACAUUUGCUUAAAAGGUGCAAUUGCAUCACUACCAGAUGGACCUGCGUUGUAUUAGCUAGUUGGUGGGGUAACGGCUCACCAAGGCGACGAUACAUAGCCGACCUGAGAGGGUGAUCGGCCACACUGGGACUGAGACACGGCCCAGACUCCUACGGGAGGCAGCAGUAGGGAAUCUUCGGCAAUGGACGGAAGUCUGACCGAGCAACGCCGCGUGAGUGAAGAAGGUUUUCGGAUCGUAAAGCUCUGUUGUAAGAGAAGAACGAGUGUGAGAGUGGAAAGUUCACACUGUGACGGUAUCUUACCAGAAAGGGACGGCUAACUACGUGCCAGCAGCCGCGGUAAUACGUAGGUCCCGAGCGUUGUCCGGAUUUAUUGGGCGUAAAGCGAGCGCAGGCGGUUAGAUAAGUCUGAAGUUAAAGGCUGUGGCUUAACCAUAGUACGCUUUGGAAACUGUUUAACUUGAGUGCAAGAGGGGAGAGUGGAA
Molecule: ribosomal RNA, 632 nt
Filed under: uncultured Bacilli bacterium
Lineage: Bacteria; Bacillati; Bacillota; Bacilli
Description: bacterial SSU rRNA
Rfam family: Bacterial small subunit ribosomal RNA
Source: RNAcentral